This is a long non-coding RNA of Camellia sinensis, 839 nucleotides long. RefSeq lists it as uncharacterized. NCBI's taxonomy places the organism in Eukaryota, Viridiplantae, Streptophyta, Magnoliopsida, Ericales, Theaceae. The record is from RefSeq and is a predicted model, not a curated record.
UCAAUUGCAAACACCUGUCUCUCUUCCUCUCCAAACCUUAGCUCUCACUCUCCUCUUCAUCUUCACCAUCGAUCAGCUCUGUCACAGUCGAUCUCCUCUGUCACCGCCGAUCUGCACCUUCUCUCUCUCUCUCCUCUCGUUUCCUCUCUCUUAAACAUUCACAUCUCUUCUUAUUUUCUCUUUCUAUUUCUCUAAAAGCCUUCAAUGUCAAAUCUGAUCCGCCGUCGUCCACCGUCGUAUUGCGCUGCCGUUCAUUGAGCAGCCAAAUCUGCAGAUCCAUAGUCGCCGUAGGUAUAACUUGUGUGCGAUGGCGAGCCAGAAGCGAGGAAGCUCUAUUUCAUAUCUGCGCUAUCCUAAACCAUAAUCUGAACCAGAUUCUCUAAUCUCGAAGCCUUUGUGUCUUCUCUCUCUUCUUCUAGAUCAAGACUAGCGACUCCAUAAACUGAAUCUGGGCAAUCUCCUAAAUGACUACGUUCUGGUCAACGUCUGCUUUCUAAUUCGGUACACACACUCUCCAUCAUCCAUGCUCUCCAAUUGAGCAUCACUUCCAGAAUCCAUGAAGGGUCUGAUUCGAGCUGUGGACUUCCAUGGAUGAUGAGUACUGGGUUAAUUAUGGGUGAGACACUUAAUUCCUUCAAAUCGGCUGCCAAACUAGUAUGAUCUAUGUGAAGAAAACUGCUUUAGAGAUGUGAGAAGAAGAAGACGACGAUGACAACAAAGAAGAGAAAGGAGGAAGAAAUAAAAAAGAAGUGAUUUUUGGUAUUAUGUAAUCUGCCUGAUCUUAAGUGUAGCCACAAUUUAGUCAUUCAACUUAAAUUUUAGUUAAUUUUUUUGGUGUA